CAGCCGGGCAAGCGUUGCCAUGGCAGCGCUGCGGGCUGGGAUGCAGGAAGCUGAGCGCGCCGCCCAGCUCGCCCCUUUGUGCGGCGGAGGCGGCGGUGCGUUCUCCCCACUCCCGCUGUACCCCGCCUCCCCCGCCCGGACUGCGCGGCCGGGAUAAGGAGCAGCUACAAAGACGACGCCGGCUGCGCUCGGGGGACCAGAGGGAGGGAGGCUGCGGACGAGUGAGGGAGGCGUUUGUGAUGGGAGGCGUUUGCAGGGGCUCCCCCAGUUCUGCGCUGUGAGCCGGGGCACAAAGAGCCCUCUGCACUAGCGCCGCAGGACCGCGGACCGGAGCUAGAGGCACCUCCCUGCCUACCCAUAUGGUUCCAGACACGUUCAUGUGGCUGCCAUGACCCCAACGGCAUCAAAGGAGUAACCAAGAGUAUAACAAGUCCUGGGAAAGAGAAGAGAGAAGGAAAUUUCCAGGUUCCUCAAGACAUUACCACCAACAAUGUUGCAGAUAAGUAUUCAAACUUACCAGCCCACAGCCUACCUGCCUGCCCUGUCCUGGUCUGUGCAGGAAAGUGUAGUGUCCUGGGAUCCCAAAGUGAGAGGGGAAAUUGUUGACACAGUUUAUUUGCUUUUCUAUCUCUAUGCCAGAAAGAAAGAGCUUGUCCCCAUUUUAUGGGGUGCCAGAAAAGGUGAUUUUCACACCCCACUUUUGUCAUCAGGGCUAGUAUUUUAUAAACUCCACUGUCAGGAACUUUUGUAUAGCUGAGUUAAGUGACUUCAUCUUGUGUACCUGUAGAUCUGGUAUUGAAAGGGCGCUGGCUGGGGGCUCCCUGGUGACUUGGACUGGCCCUUUCAGCUCCGGCCUUUUGUGAUCAUAUUUAUAAAACCCUGGCCAGGGCUCCUUGGCCUUACAGUCAAGGUGGGACCUCAGUAUUGUGCCUGUAGGACACAUUCUUCUGAGUACAUUCUGCCUGUAGUACACAGUUUGAGUACAUCUACAGCUCUGGACCUAUGCCCCGAGUCUCAGGUGCUGACUGCAAGGUCUGAUAAUGUGCCGAGAGGGUCCCCUGACUCACCUGGCUCAGGUGUGCCAGCUGAUGAAGAUAGCAGAGCUGUUACCAAAAGUCAAAUCUGGGAGAUGGUUCUGGGUCAGGACACAGGUAGUCUUCUUCAGACUGGCAACACAGGGUGGUCUUAAAAGAGCCCUACCCCACCCUCUGACUCCCCAAGUUUCCUCUGCUGUAUAGGUCAUCAGAAAAGGGCAGAAGAAAACAAGUUGGGGGGGAGGGGGAAGGGGAAGCAGAAAAAUAACUGAGGCUGGGCAGAAGGGCCCCUCCUGUUUCUCAUCCAUUGCCUAAAGCAACAGGUUUCUAUCGUGCACUUGGGGCGAAUGUCAGGGCUGGAAGGGUCCC
Molecule: long non-coding RNA, 1403 nt
Organism: Galeopterus variegatus (Sunda flying lemur)
Lineage: Eukaryota; Metazoa; Chordata; Mammalia; Dermoptera; Cynocephalidae
Exons: 4
Source: RefSeq, a predicted model, not a curated record